RNAcentral lists this long non-coding RNA (423 nucleotides) under Homo sapiens (human). RNAcentral's name for it is "HSALNT0218146". The record is from RNAcentral. Lineage: Eukaryota; Metazoa; Chordata; Mammalia; Primates; Hominidae.
UACUUGCUGCAAUAGGCCUUUCUUCCCCUGCAACUGAGGUGAUAAUUGAAUCAUAAUACCACUGCACGCCUUGGGUUAUAGGAAUCCCGUUUCCCACUCAGCAUUGCAUUCAAGACAAAGGACAUACCAAGUCAACCCUAACAUCUCACAUCAGAUGUUCAUAAACGGCUCACAUUUUCUGUACUUUAUGCAUAUUUUUUUACUCAUAAAAGAGUCAAGGGGAAACAGCUUUGAAGAAGGAGCCCAAAUGAUAUUAGCGUUCAUACUUAUUUUUAGACUUCAAAAAGAUAGGUAUCUAAACACUACUUACUGGAUAAAUGUAAGGGUGUAUUUUAGCCAUUGUAGAUUUCCUAACAGUAAUUAUUAACUAUACAACCAUACGAACUCAUUAUUAAGUACUUAGUGUGCUUUUGACAUCAGCUC